This is a long non-coding RNA of Anthonomus grandis grandis, 1191 nucleotides long. RefSeq lists it as uncharacterized. The record is from RefSeq and is a predicted model, not a curated record. Lineage: Eukaryota; Metazoa; Arthropoda; Insecta; Coleoptera; Curculionidae. The transcript has 2 exons.
UUGUCAUUUCAUGCAUAAUUUUUUAAUAAAUUGCAUUUAUCUCUGAAGGAAAGAAUCGAAAUACUCAUGAUUGGUUUUGGAGAUCGGGUACACAACAAGAGGUCUGUAAUCUAUUUAAUACAACACAUGCUGAUCGUCCUGCAAUUACUGGAUCCAUCGCAAGUAAAAUUGCAUCAAUAUCUAGGGAACACGGCCAUUACAAUUUCCAGGAAUCGGAAUUACCAGUAGGUUCGGUGGCAAAAAUACUGCGUGUAAAUAAAUAUCAUCCCUAUAAAGUACAACUGAUACAUGAAUUGUUAGAAGACGAUUUUAACCGCUGAGUGCAGUUUUGUGAGCAGAUUCUUGAGGCAAAUAAUGACAAUGGAAAUUUUAUCACGAAUUUUAAUUUGCUGAUGGAGCCAUCUUUACGUUAAAUGGACAUGUUAACAGACAAAGUUGUAGAUAUUGGGCAAACGAAAAUCCUCAUUAGACCCAAGAAUACCACACACAGCGCCCUCAAAAAAUUAAUGUAUGGGCAUGUAUUGUGAAAAUUCGAAUCCCUGGACUUUUUUUCGAAGAAACAUUAAACGCAGAGCGCUACCUGGAGUUUGUACAGUUUUAUCCCUGCUUUAGGUGUUUUAUUCCCUGAACCAUAAGAGGCUGACAUACCUAGUAACGAGAUAUGGUUUCAACAAAACCUCCUCACUUUGACAUCGCCGUUCGACAAUUUCUUGAUGCAACUUUUCCUAACAGAUGGAUUGGACGAAGAGGGCCGAUUGAGUGGCCACCAAAGUCACCGGAUAUAACCCCAUUAGAUUUGUUCUUAUGUAUUUGGAGCCGACAGUUUAUGUGAAUAGACCAAAUAAUGUUGAUAAUUAAAAGCAAAUAAUUCGAAAAAAAAUUAGACUAAUCAACAACAACUGGAUCAAUGCAUCUGGAAGUUAUUUACCAAUUUCAAAAAUGCAUUGAAUAAAUAGACAACAAAUUUAACAUCGGUUGCAAUAAAUAUUGUAUACAUUUUUAUUUUUUAAUGUCGUGUAAUGUUUCAUUAGUCUAUUACGUCAAGUUUGAUAAACCGCUGACUUUAUGGUAUGCUAUACAAAAAGUAGUCAGAAUAUAGGUACAUAUGUAUACAUAAGUAUUCAGAAUAUGUAUAGUAAAAUUGUAAAAAGUCAUGAUAUACGGGGUGUUCUAUUAAAAAAAAAAUGUUGA